This 467-nucleotide ribosomal RNA is filed under the name uncultured bacterium. RNAcentral describes it as "bacterial SSU rRNA". It matches the Rfam family "Bacterial small subunit ribosomal RNA", at positions 329 to 793 of the family's 1533-position model. The record is from RNAcentral.
UACCAGACUCCUACGGGAGGCAGCAGUGAGGAAUAUUGGUCAAUGGGCGCGAGCCUGAACCAGCCAAGUCGCGUGAGGGAAGACGGUCCUAUGGAUUGUAAACCUCUUUUGUCAGGGAGCAAUUGGCGCUACGUGUAGCGUUAUCGAGAGUACCUGAAGAAAAAGCAUCGGCUAACUCCGUGCCAGCAGCCGCGGUAAUACGGAGGAUGCGAGCGUUAUCCGGAUUUAUUGGGUUUAAAGGGUGCGUAGGCGGAAUGCCAAGUCAGCGGUAAAAUCGCGGGGCUCAACCUCGCUCCGCCGUUGAAACUGGCAGUCUCGAGUUGGAGAGAAGUAUGCGGAAUGCGCGGUGUAGCGGUGAAAUGCAUAGAUAUCACGCAGAACUCCGAUUGCGAAGGCAGCAUACCGGCGCCCAACUGACGCUGAAGCACGAAAGCGUGGGUAUCGAACAGGAUUAGAUACCCUGGUAC